This 102-nucleotide non-coding RNA is filed under the name Ureibacillus manganicus. RNAcentral describes it as "Lysinibacillus manganicus Guanine sequence". It matches the Rfam family "Purine riboswitch aptamer". From Rfam's summary of the family: Riboswitches are metabolite binding domains within certain messenger RNAs that serve as precision sensors for their corresponding targets. Allosteric rearrangement of mRNA structure is mediated by ligand binding, and this results in modulation of gene expression. The record is from RNAcentral. Lineage: Bacteria; Bacillati; Bacillota; Bacilli; Caryophanales; Caryophanaceae. RNAcentral also lists the same sequence under 1 other name.
AAUAAUAUGAACGGAUGCCUUCAUAUAAGUCCGAUAAUAUGGUUCGGAUGUUUCUACUAAGUUACCUUAAACAACUUAUCUAUGACGGCAGGUAGGCGUGUA